GCGCCUUAGUGCAGUGGUAGAGGAUCUGCUUUGUGUGCAGAAGUCCGCGGGAUCAGUCCCCGGCAUCUCCG
Molecule: non-coding RNA, 71 nt
Organism: Podarcis lilfordi (Lilford's wall lizard)
Lineage: Eukaryota; Metazoa; Chordata; Lepidosauria; Squamata; Lacertidae
Source: the annotation of a GenBank genome assembly